GGCUGGGUAGCUCAGCCUGGUAGAGCACCGCGCUGAAAACGCGGGUGUCGGCGGUUCGAGUCCGCCCCCAGCCA
RNAcentral lists this transfer RNA (74 nucleotides) under Gemmatimonadota bacterium. Its description in RNAcentral is "tRNA-Phe". It matches the Rfam family "tRNA". From Rfam's summary of the family: Transfer RNA (tRNA) molecules are approximately 80 nucleotides in length. Their secondary structure includes four short double-helical elements and three loops (D, anti-codon, and T loops). The record is from RNAcentral. Lineage: Bacteria; Pseudomonadati; Gemmatimonadota. RNAcentral also lists the same sequence under 1 other name.